This 501-nucleotide ribosomal RNA is filed under the name uncultured bacterium. Its description in RNAcentral is "partial 16S ribosomal RNA". It matches the Rfam family "Bacterial small subunit ribosomal RNA", at positions 30 to 523 of the family's 1533-position model. The record is from RNAcentral.
AUUGAACGCUGGCGGCAUGCCUUACACAUGCAAGUCGAACGGCAGCACGGGUGCUUGCACCUGGUGGCGAGUGGCGAACGGGUGAGUAAUACAUCGGAACGUACCUUAUCGUGGGGGAUAACGCAGCGAAAGCUGUGCUAAUACCGCAUACGCCCUGAGGGGGAAAGCGGGGGAUCGCAAGACCUCGCGCGAUUAGAGCGGCCGAUGCCUGAUUAGCUUGUUGGUGGGGUAAAAGCCCACCAAGGCGACGAUCAGUAGCUGGUCUGAGAGGACGAUCAGCAACACUGGGACUGGGACACGGCCCAGACUCCUACGGGAGGCAGCAGUGGGGAAUUUUGGACAAUGGGAGCAACCCUGAUCCAGCAAUGCCGCGUGAGUGAAGAAGGCCUUCGGGUUGUAAAGCUCUUUUGUCAGGGAAGAAACACCGGCUCUAACACAGUCUGGGAAUGACGGUACCUGAAGAAUAAGCACCGGCUAACUACGUGCCAGCAGCCGCCGUAA